This 498-nucleotide ribosomal RNA is filed under the name uncultured bacterium. RNAcentral describes it as "partial 16S ribosomal RNA". It matches the Rfam family "Bacterial small subunit ribosomal RNA", at positions 28 to 523 of the family's 1533-position model. The record is from RNAcentral.
GACGAACGCUGGCGGCGCGCUUAACACAUGCAAGUCGAGCGAGAACCAGGGCUUCGGCCCUGGGGACAGCGGCGAACGGGUGAGUAACACGUGGAUAACCUGCCCUCGGCACCGGGAUAGCCCGGGGAAACUCGGAUUAAUACCGGAUGGCCCUUCCGGCUCACGAGCCGGUCGGAAAAGGUAGCUUCGGCCUCCGGCCGAGGAUGGGUCCGCGGCGGAUUAGCUUGUUGGUGGGGUAACGGCCUACCAAGGCUCCGAUCCGUAGCUGGUCUGAGAGGACGAUCAGCCACACUGGGACUGAGACACGGCCCAGACUCCUACGGGAGGCAGCAGUGGGGAAUCUUGCCCAAUGGGCGAAAGCCUGAGGCAGCGACGCCGCGUGAGGGAGGAAGGCCUUCGGGUUGUAAACCUCUUUCAGGAGGGACGAAUGCCCCGCAAGGGGAGUGACGGUACCUCCAAAGGAAGCACCGGCUAACUCCGUGCCAGCCGCCGCCGUAA